Long non-coding RNA from Balaenoptera acutorostrata (minke whale), 1099 nucleotides. RefSeq lists it as uncharacterized. The transcript is spliced from 3 exons. The record is from RefSeq and is a predicted model, not a curated record. Lineage: Eukaryota; Metazoa; Chordata; Mammalia; Artiodactyla; Balaenopteridae.
GUCGUGUAGAAAGGUCCCGAGAGACUUCUGUUUGCUUUACAUCAGUAAGGAGAGGGGAGAGAGAACGCGGAGUUUCUUUCCGUCUAUCUGAGACUUAGCAUAAGUGAUCAGCAAAGUGACGAUGGAGGCCAACCUGUGCUGGCUGCUGGCAACCUGGCUCCCCCCGUGGUCCCUGUGAACGUUCUGGAAAUGCAAGACCAGAAGUCAUUCAAGAAACUGUGAUAAAGACUUCAAGCCAAUGUCCACGCAAACUCCCACCAAAGCUGCUCAUGAAAGACAAAUCAUUGAAAAGUGGAGUAUUCAGCCAGCUGGGCUAUCUGACCUCACACAGACUAGAAGGAAUAGAAUGUUUCCUAAACUAACAACUGGCUUGUGGGAGGAAGCAAACAUUGUCAGGAUAAAGAUGAUGAACCAGACAGGUCGAAUCCCAUUCAUUAGCUCUGCAACCACAGGCUGAAGACCCCCUUGGAUGUCAUGAACACUGGCCCCACAGACUGCUGUGACUGCAAUAAGCUGAGGGGCGUGGAGUGGCGAUGGACUCUCUGAUCCGGACUCUAGGACUGUCACCUCGCUGGGGCUUCCAGCCCCCUUACCCUGCAGGAUCCUCCUCCAGUGACCUACCCGUGAAUCUGACCUCACUGCCCAUCACUCUCCCUUCCCCACCAUGCUCCCCACUGGCCUCCUUUCCACCUCUGCACAAGCCACGCCCCUCCCAGUUAGGCCCUCCAGCCAGGAGCCCCUUCUCCUUGCUCCUGUUCUCUGCUGGUACCCACCCUUCCCACCUUCUGAUUCCUGAAGGCUGCGUCCUCUUCUCAUCCAGCUGCUCUUGAGAGGGGCCUUCUUCAUCCAUCCCAGCAAAAGACCCGCCGUUCUGCCACACACCCUGCAGUUUGCCCCCGUUUUAUUUUUUCCAUGGGAUCCUAGUAAUUUAUCUGUUUAUCUUAUUACUACCUGCCACCCGCCCCCGCCCCCCGCCCCAACUCUGAUGUGAGCUCCAUGUGUGCACAACUCACUCAAUUUCUAGAGCCUAGACAGUUCCUGGCACAUGUUAAGGGGUUCAAUUAAUCUUUUUUGAAUAAAUGAAAAGAUUUAAAACUUC